RNAcentral lists this long non-coding RNA (541 nucleotides) under Androctonus crassicauda. The record is from RNAcentral. Lineage: Eukaryota; Metazoa; Arthropoda; Arachnida; Scorpiones; Buthidae.
GUUUAAUCAAAAAAAAUUUUUGUCCAUUGAUGCAGUCUUUCAGACAAGAUUUUGUCACUUUCAACCAAUCAGAACAAUAUCAUCUUAGAAAACAACCCAGCAUUCAUUGCAUAAAAAUUCAGUUCCGGUUUCAGUUUUGAUUUUUUAUUUUUCUCUGUGUGAUUAAAUUGAUGGAAAAUAAUAAUUAAUACAUUAUGGAUCCUUGUGAAACAGUUUUAGUUGGAGAAGGUAACAUAGGAAGUAGAAAGAAAAGUUCUAGCUUAACAGCAAGACAAGCUGAGAAAAGAAAGAAGUAUGUGAAAUGUGCUGGACACAACAUCUUCAUUCCAUGUAGACAUGAAAACAAACGAUUUCAUUGCAUAAGGUUCAGACCUUCAGAUUGCUCCUUCAUAAGAGAAAACUUACUAUCAAUCCCUGAUAAGAUUUCACAAGAUAAUUAUAUUGUAUCCAAACUUACCAUUGAAUCAAUACACAGAAGAUGACCUCGACAGGCAGUAAAUAAACAACCACAUGCGUAUAGCCUAAAAUUUGUUUUACCCAC